Molecule: ribosomal RNA, 477 nt
Filed under: uncultured bacterium
Lineage: Bacteria
Description: bacterial SSU rRNA
Rfam family: Bacterial small subunit ribosomal RNA
Source: RNAcentral
GACGAACGCUGGCGGCGUGCCUAACACAUGCAAGUCGAACGGGACUUAUGGAAUGCGGCCUAGCCAAAUGAAAUAAGUUUAGUGGCGAACGGGUGAGUAACGCGUGAGCAACCUGCCUUUCAGAGGGGGACAACAGUUGGAAACGACUGCUAAUACCGCAUAAUGCAUUCGAGGGGCAUCCCUUGAAUGCCAAAGAUUUAUCGCUGAAAGAUGGGCUCGCGUCUGAUUAGAUAGUUGGUGGGGUAACGGCCUACCAAGUCGACGAUCAGUAGCCGGACUGAGAGGUUGAACGGCCACAUUGGGACUGAGAUACGGCCCAGACUCCUACGGGAGGCAGCAGUGGGGAAUAUUGGGCAAUGGGGGAAACCCUGACCCAGCAACGCCGCGUGAAGGAAGAAGGCUUUCGGGUGUAAACUUCUUUAGUCAGGGACGAAGGACGUGACGGUACCUGCAGAAAAAGCAACGGCUAACUACGUG